Molecule: small nuclear RNA, 181 nt
Filed under: Salarias fasciatus (jewelled blenny)
Lineage: Eukaryota; Metazoa; Chordata; Actinopteri; Blenniiformes; Blenniidae
Description: U2 spliceosomal RNA (ENSSFAG00005001720.1)
Rfam family: U2 spliceosomal RNA
About the family: U2 is a small nuclear RNA (snRNA) component of the spliceosome (involved in pre-mRNA splicing).
Source: Rfam by way of RNAcentral
AUGUAUUGUCUGAGGUGUCAAAAAAAAAUCUGUUCUUAUCAGUUUAAUAUCUGAUACGUCCCCUAUCCGGGGACCAUCUAUUAUAUUGGUUUUUGGAACAGGGAGAUGGAAUAGGGGCUUGCUCCGUCCACUCCACGCAUCGACUGGGUAUUGCAGUGUUUCCAGGAACGGUGCACCCCCC